Molecule: ribosomal RNA, 228 nt
Filed under: uncultured bacterium
Lineage: Bacteria
Description: partial 16S ribosomal RNA
Rfam family: Bacterial small subunit ribosomal RNA
Source: RNAcentral
UGCGUAGGCGGGCUAAUAGUCAGUGGUGAAAUCUCUCGGCUCAACCGGGAAACUGCCAUUGAUACUGUUAGUCUUGAGUUCGGUUGAGGUAGGCGGAAUGUGUAAUGUAGCGGUGAAAUGCUUAGAUAUUACACAGAACACCAAUUGCGUAGGCAGCUUACUAGACCGACACUGACGCUGAGGCACGAAAGCGUGGGGAGCGAACAGGAUUAGAUACCCUGGUAGUCC